RNAcentral lists this long non-coding RNA (224 nucleotides) under Homo sapiens (human). RNAcentral's name for it is "non-protein coding lnc-C14orf93-1:1". The record is from RNAcentral. Lineage: Eukaryota; Metazoa; Chordata; Mammalia; Primates; Hominidae.
AUAAUGUCCUGACUCUUCCAGUAGAAACACCACGAAAAAUUCACACACACCCACAUGGCAAAGGAGCACAGCACUUAGGUGCAGUGCUGCAGAAUCCUGUCCCACGCAUUGCAAAUGAGCUUGUUCUCGGUCUUGGGACACUUGUGGAUGUACCCUGUAUCUUCACAGUACUUGAUUUUCACAGUAACUGGUUGCCAAGGAGAAAAACCAUAAAGGCACCUAUA